This 77-nucleotide transfer RNA is filed under the name Klebsiella pneumoniae. Its description in RNAcentral is "tRNA-Met". It matches the Rfam family "tRNA". Rfam says of the family: Transfer RNA (tRNA) molecules are approximately 80 nucleotides in length. Their secondary structure includes four short double-helical elements and three loops (D, anti-codon, and T loops). Lineage: Bacteria; Pseudomonadati; Pseudomonadota; Gammaproteobacteria; Enterobacterales; Enterobacteriaceae. The record is from RNAcentral.
CGCGGGAUGGAGCAGUUNGGUAGCUCGUCGGGCUCAUAACCCGAAGGUCGGNGGUUCAAAUCCUUCUCCCGCUACCA